UUCCUUCAGGAAUAGCUUUCCUUUUGAAGGGAGAGUAUGAUAUUGUACGGAAUUUCAUCCUUUAUACCCUUCAAUUGCAGAGUUGGGAGAAAACCAUGGAUUGUCAUAGUCCUGGUCAAGGGUUGAUGCCUGCUAGUUUCAGCACUGUUCCCCUUGAUGGUGAUGAUUCUGCUACUGAGGACAUUUUAGAUCCUGACUUUGGUGAAGCAGCAAUUGGCCGAGUUGCACCAGUUGAUUCUGGAUUGUGGUGGAUUAUAUUGUUACGAGCUUAUGGAAAAUGCUCCGGAGAUCUUUCCGUGCAAGAGAGAGUUGAUGUGCAAACUGGGAUUAAAAUGAUUUUAAAACUGUGUCUUGCUGAUGGUUUUGAUAUGUUUCCAACGUUAUUGGUGACGGAUGGUUCUUGCAUGAUAGAUCGUCGCAUGGGAAUUCAUGGACAUCCAUUGGAGAUUCAGGCACUCUUUUAUUCAGCAUUACUUUGUGCACGUGAAAUGCUUGCUCCCGAGGAUGGAUCAGCUGACCUCAUUAGAGCUCUUAACAAUCGUCUAGUUGCGCUAUCUUUCCACAUAAGGGAAUACUAUUGGAUUGAUAUGAAAAAAAUUAAUGAGAUCUACCGUUACAAGACUGAGGAAUACUCAUAUGAUGCAGUCAAUAAGUUUAAUAUCUACCCGGAUCAAAUCCCUUCAUGGUUAGUGGACUUCAUGCCAAAUAGAGGAGGUUAUUUGAUUGGAAACCUGCAGCCUGCUCACAUGGACUUCCGUUUCUUCUCUCUUGGAAACUUAUGGUCUAUAAUAAGUAGUCUUGCAACGGUGGAUCAGUCACAUGCCAUAUUGGAUCUUAUUGAAGCAAAAUGGGCAGAUUUAGUGACUGAGAUGCCAUUCAAAAUAUGCUAUCCCAGUCUUGAGGGCCAGGAAUGGCGAAUUAUUACAGGCAGUGAUCCUAAGAACACUCCGUGGUCUUACCACAAUGGAGGUUCUUGGCCAACUUUACUCUGGCAGCUCACUGUGGCUUGCAUAAAGAUGAAUAGACCAAAGAUUGCAGAAAGAGCAGUUAAGCUUGCUGAGCGGCGCAUAUCUAGAGACAAGUGGCCAGAAUACUAUGAUACUAAGAAAGCAAGGUUUAUUGGAAAACAGGCUCGGCUAUUUCAAACCUGGUCAAUUGCAGGUUAUCUUGUUGCCAAGCUCCUUCUUGACAAUCCAAGUGCAGCAAGGAUCCUUGUAAAUGAAGAAGAUUCAGAGCUUCUAAAUACCCUUUGUGACAUGAUCAAUGCCAAUCCGAGGAGGAAACGUGGCCGGGUUGGAUUUAAGCAACCGUUCAUAGUAUGAUCUCAUACUGUGAAGUUCAAGAGAUGGUUCA
Molecule: unclassified non-coding RNA, 1353 nt
Filed under: Hevea brasiliensis (rubber tree)
Lineage: Eukaryota; Viridiplantae; Streptophyta; Magnoliopsida; Malpighiales; Euphorbiaceae
Source: RNAcentral